Molecule: transfer RNA, 70 nt
Filed under: Mycosphaerella sp. Ston1
Lineage: Eukaryota; Fungi; Ascomycota; Dothideomycetes; Mycosphaerellales; Mycosphaerellaceae
Description: tRNA-Asp (GTC) (tRNA-Asp-GTC-1-1)
Source: RNAcentral
AUCUUCAUUGGUCUAGUGGUCAUGAUUUCCGCUUGUCACGCGGGAGACCUGGGUUCGAUUCGUAAGGAUA